AAUAAGCGGAGGAAAAGAAACUAACCAGGAUUCCCCUAGUAACGGCGAGUGAAGCGGGAUGAGCUCAAGCUUAAAAUCUCUGUGCCAGUUUGGCAUGGCGAAUUGUAGUCUAUAGAGGCGUUGUCAGUGCGGCUGUGCGGGGUAAGUUCCUUGGAAGAGGACAGCAUCGAGGGUGAUACUCCCGUUUGUACCUGUGCGGCUUGCGCGUACGACACGUUUUCUUCGAGUCGCGUUGUUUGGGACUGCAGCGCAAAGUAGGUGGUAAAUUCCAUCUAAAGCUAAAUAUUGGUGCGAGACCGAUAGCGAACAAGUACCGUGAGGGAAAGAUGAAAAGAACUUUGAAAAGAGAGUUAAAGAGUACCUGAAACUGCUGAAAGGGAAGCGAAUCGUAUCCAGUGUCUAUAAUCUGCGGCAUAUUUCAUUGGCGGCUUUGUGCGUGCUAUUGUUUCGGAAGCGGCUUUUGUUGCUCUGUGCUUUGGUGUUGUGCGUUGCUGCUGGUGCCCUGUGUUGCGGUGGGACGUCAGAGUCAGUUCGUAUGCUGCGGGAAAUGGCCGCCGAGGAGGUAGGUCAGGACUUCGGUCUUGGCUGUUAUAUCUUGGUGGUUUGUUGUCGUGGUUGGGACUGAGGUGCCUACAAUGUGCUUUUGAGUGUGCCGGGUUCUCAUUUGGUGGACUGUUUGGAUAGCUUGCUAUGCUUGUGGUUUUUUCAUCGAGUGAUUGAGUCUGGUGGUAACUUAUUGCCGUUCGGGACUUUGACGAAAUGGAGCGAUUCGGCCCGU
This 778-nucleotide ribosomal RNA is filed under the name Globisporangium viniferum. RNAcentral describes it as "Pythium viniferum partial large subunit ribosomal RNA". It matches the Rfam family "Eukaryotic large subunit ribosomal RNA", at positions 45 to 652 of the family's 3401-position model. Lineage: Eukaryota; Oomycota; Peronosporomycetes; Pythiales; Pythiaceae. The record is from RNAcentral.